This is a small nucleolar RNA of Ailuropoda melanoleuca (giant panda), 148 nucleotides long. The record is from Ensembl. Lineage: Eukaryota; Metazoa; Chordata; Mammalia; Carnivora; Ursidae.
ACCUUCCGGUUCCCUUUCCCAUCGGAUCUGAACACUGGUCUUGGUAGACAGGGGCAUACAUUUGGGGAAAGGAGGAAAAGGAACACCAAAGCUGGCCUCACAGUGCUUCUAGUCUGGUUUGUAGCGUAUGGCCUAGUUUCAAACAAGG